UUGAAAGGGAAACGAUUGAAGUCACCUACCACCAAAUCAACCUUUCAUUNAUUUUAUUUUUUAAAUUCAAAACCUUUAAUUUCAAAAUAUUCCUCUUUUNUUACUUUCUCUGUAAUUAACAUCAUUUUAUCAUCAUAAAAAAUUGANAAUUACUUCAUCUUUAUUAAUUUAUACCUUUGUAAUUAUAUUNNNUCAAAUUCAACAAUACCCUUUUGCCUAUCCCCUAUCUCUAUACUNCCUUGCAUCAAAACUCUUAUUUAUUAANAUUACNUCAAAANUUAAACNAUUACAUUCGUUAAGGAUGUUGACGUA
Molecule: ribosomal RNA, 312 nt
Filed under: uncultured Glomeromycotina
Lineage: Eukaryota; Fungi; Glomeromycota
Description: partial large subunit ribosomal RNA
Source: RNAcentral